CGGAGGAAAAGAAACCAACAGGGAUUGCCUCAGUAACGGCGAGUGAAGCGGCAAGAGCUCAAAUUUGAAAGCUGGCUCCUUCGGGGUCCGCAUUGUAAUUUGCAGAGGAUGCUUCGGGAGUGGCCCCCAUCUAAGUGCCCUGGAACGGGCCGUCAUAGAGGGUGAGAAUCCCGUCUGGGAUGGGGUGUCCACGCCCGUGUGAAGCUCCUUCGACGAGUCGAGUUGUUUGGGAAUGCAGCUCUAAAUGGGUGGUAAAUUUCAUCUAAAGCUAAAUACUGGCCGGAGACCGAUAGCGCACAAGUAGAGUGAUCGAAAGAUGAAAAGCACUUUGAAAAGAGAGUUAAACAGCACGUGAAAUUGUUGAAAGGGAAGCGCUUGCGACCAGACUCGCCCACGGGGUUCAGCCGGCAUUCGUGCCGGUGUACUUCCCCGCGGGCGGGCCAGCGUCGGUUUGGGCGGCCGGUCAAAGGCCCUCGGAAUGUAACGCCCCCCGGGGCGUCUUAUAGCCGAGGGUGCCAUGCGGCCAGCCCGGACCGAGGAACGCGC
This 546-nucleotide ribosomal RNA is filed under the name fungal endophyte. Its description in RNAcentral is "eukaryotic LSU rRNA". It matches the Rfam family "Eukaryotic large subunit ribosomal RNA", at positions 51 to 600 of the family's 3401-position model. The record is from RNAcentral. Lineage: Eukaryota; Fungi.